CUCUUGCAUAUCCAGUAUAAGAGGUCCCGCCUGCCCUGUGACUAUAGGUUUAACGGCCGCGGUAUUUUGACCGUGCGAAGGUAGCGCAAUCACUUGUCUUUUAAAUGAAGACUUGUAUGAAUGGCACGACGAGGGCUUGACUGUCUCCUUCUUUCAGUCAAUGAAAUUGAUCUAUCCGUGCAGAAGCGGGUAUAUAAACAU
RNAcentral lists this ribosomal RNA (201 nucleotides) under Oostethus brachyurus (short-tailed pipefish). RNAcentral describes it as "partial 16S ribosomal RNA". It matches the Rfam family "Archaeal large subunit ribosomal RNA", at positions 1912 to 2143 of the family's 2987-position model. The record is from RNAcentral. Lineage: Eukaryota; Metazoa; Chordata; Actinopteri; Syngnathiformes; Syngnathidae.